GCAUGGGUUUGGAUUUAUGGCAGGCCCUUCCCCGUGGGCCUCUCAUAGUGUCCCAUGCCAGAGCAAACUGUAGCCCUGAACCAUUGCCUGGCCUUGUCCAUAGGCCUCCGCACUGAAGGGGGCUGCCCAGUG
Molecule: small nucleolar RNA, 132 nt
Organism: Dasypus novemcinctus (nine-banded armadillo)
Lineage: Eukaryota; Metazoa; Chordata; Mammalia; Cingulata; Dasypodidae
Source: Ensembl